GACAUGAAACCACCAUUCUUGGACUCUGAAGAAUACUAUGCAAACCAUGCUUUUGGAUCUACUGUUAAGUUUUUGUAAUAAAGCUGAGGUUUUGGGAUUGAAAAUCUUCUGCCACAUGAUCUUCCGUAAAAAUGCAGCAAGGAUCCAGCUGAUUACUUCAGAUUUGGUGGACUGCUCUUUAUCUGCUGUGACUGUCACUUCUGGUGCAGAAUCAUGGAC
This is a long non-coding RNA of Onychostoma macrolepis, 219 nucleotides long. RefSeq lists it as uncharacterized. The transcript is spliced from 3 exons. Lineage: Eukaryota; Metazoa; Chordata; Actinopteri; Cypriniformes; Cyprinidae. The record is from RefSeq and is a predicted model, not a curated record.